UCUCCGUUGGUGAACCAGCGGAGGGAUCAUUACCGAGUUUACAACUCCCAAACCCAAUGUAAACCAUACCACACUGUUGCCUCGGCGGGGUCACGCCCCGGGUGGGGCGCAGCCCCGGAACCAGGCUCCCUCCGGAGGGACCAAUCAAAAUAUUUCUGUAGUCCCCCCGCGGAAAAUAUCUUUUCAGCUCUGAGCAAAAAUUCAACAUGAAUCAAACCUUUAAACAACGGAACUUUUGGAUCUGGCAUCAGUGAAGAAACCACCAGAUCCGAAGCAGAA
Molecule: unclassified non-coding RNA, 279 nt
Filed under: plant metagenome
Description: partial contains small subunit ribosomal RNA, internal transcribed spacer 1, and 5.8S ribosomal RNA
Source: RNAcentral